ACGCGUUGAACAUUCGAGGCCAUUUAAACUGGAGUGGAGGGAGUUACCAUGGAAACGGGGCAGCAACACAGCUGACAAGUAGCAAAACUACUUCUCUCACGGUUGUUUUUACUGCUUUCAGUGCAUUCAGGCUAUCAAUGGAUGAGUUGGAGCGGACCUCUUGUUGAAGAACUUUUCCAGGCACUAUGAACCAUCUGACUAGCCAUCACAUUUAACACUGCAUUGAGGACACUACAACCAGAGAGGUACAACAUAAUUCAAAAUGAUAUAGAUGAUAAUAAAAAAAAAGUGCUUUGAAAUGAAAAUGAAUAAUGGUAAGACAGAAC
Molecule: long non-coding RNA, 326 nt
Organism: Cyprinus carpio carpio
Lineage: Eukaryota; Metazoa; Chordata; Actinopteri; Cypriniformes; Cyprinidae
Source: Ensembl